RNAcentral lists this ribosomal RNA (274 nucleotides) under uncultured bacterium. RNAcentral's name for it is "partial 16S ribosomal RNA". It matches the Rfam family "Bacterial small subunit ribosomal RNA", at positions 523 to 796 of the family's 1533-position model. The record is from RNAcentral.
ACACGUAGGAGGCAAGCGUUAUUCGGAUUUACUGGGCGUAAAGCGCGUGCAGGCGGUCUGGUAAGUUGGAUGUGAAAGCUCCCGGCUCAACUGGGAGAGGUCGUUCAAAACUGCCGGACUAGAGGACGGUAGAGGGAGGUGGAAUUCCCGGUGUAGUGGUGAAAUGCGUAGAUAUCGGGAGGAACACCAGUGGCGAAGGCGGCCUCCUGGGCCGUUCCUGACGCUAAGACGCGAAAGCGUGGGGAGCGAACGGGAUUAGAAACCCGAGUAGUCC